AGAGUUUGAUCAUGGCUCAGAUUGAACGCUGGCGGCAGGCCUAACACAUGCAAGUCGAGCGGUAGCACAGAGAGCUUGCUCUCGGGUGACGAGCGGCGGACGGGUGAGUAAUGUCUGGGAAACUGCCUGAUGGAGGGGGAUAACUACUGGAAACGGUAGCUAAUACCGCAUAACGUCGCAAGACCAAAGUGGGGGACCUUCGGGCCUCAUGCCAUCAGAUGUGCCCAGAUGGGAUUAGCUAGUAGGUGGGGUAAUGGCUCACCUAGGCGACGAUCCCUAGCUGGUCUGAGAGGAUGAUCAGCCACACUGGGACUGAGACACGGCCCAGACUCCUACGGGAGGCAGCAGUGGGGAAUAUUGCACAAUGGGCGCAAGCCUGAUGCAGCCAUGCCGCGUGUAUGAAGAAGGCCUUCGGGUUGUAAAGUACUUUCAGCGAGGAGGAAGGCAUUAAGGUUAAUAACCUUAGUGAUUGACGUUACUCGCAGAAGAAGCACCGGCUAACUCCGUGCCAGCAGCCGCGGUAAUAC
Molecule: ribosomal RNA, 527 nt
Filed under: uncultured bacterium
Lineage: Bacteria
Description: bacterial SSU rRNA
Rfam family: Bacterial small subunit ribosomal RNA
Source: RNAcentral